RNAcentral lists this ribosomal RNA (371 nucleotides) under uncultured eukaryote. RNAcentral describes it as "partial 18S ribosomal RNA". It matches the Rfam family "Eukaryotic small subunit ribosomal RNA", at positions 592 to 976 of the family's 1831-position model. The record is from RNAcentral.
CAAUAGCGUAUAUUAAAGUUGUUGCAGUUAAAAAGCUCGUAGUUGAAUUUCUGUCAGGAGUGACAGGGCCUUUGGAUGAACUUCCAUUGUUUUUUGCUCUGUUUGUCAUCUCUAGACAUCCUGAAAUAUUUUUUAAAAAUAUUUCUCUUUUACUGUUAGCAAAAUAGAGUGUUCCAAGCAAAGCGUAGUUUUGAAUACAUUAGAAUGGAAUAAUAAGAUAGGACUUUGGUGCUAUUUUGUUGGUUUGCACACCAAGGUAAUGAUUAAUAGGGACAGUUGGGGGUAUUCGUAUUUAAUUGUCAGAGGUGAAAUUCUUGGAUUUAUGAAAGACGAACUACUGCGAAAGCAUUUACCAAGGAUGUUUUCAUUAA